Molecule: ribosomal RNA, 465 nt
Filed under: uncultured bacterium
Lineage: Bacteria
Description: partial 16S ribosomal RNA
Rfam family: Bacterial small subunit ribosomal RNA
Source: RNAcentral
CCUACGGGAGGCAGCAGUAGGGAAUCUUCGGCAAUGGACGAAAGUCUGACCGAGCAACGCCGCGUGAGUGAAGAAGGUUUUCGGAUCGUAAAACUCUGUUGUUAGAGAAGAACAAGGACGUUCGUAACUGAACGUCCCCUGACGGUAUCUAACCAGACAGCCACGGUUAACUACGUGCCAGCAGCUGCGGCAAUACGUAGGUGGCAUGCGUUGUCCGGAUUUAUUGGGCGUAAAGCGAGCGCAGGCGGUUUCUUAAGUCUGAUGUGAAAGCUCCCGGCUCAACCGGGGAGGGUCAUUGGAAACUGGGAGGCUUGAGUGCAGAAGAGGAAGGUGGAAUUCGAUGUGUAGCGGUGAAAUGCGUAGAUAUAAGGAGGAACACCGGUGGCGAAGGCGGCUCUCUGGUCUGUAACUGACGCUGAGGCUCGAAAGCGUGGGGAGCAAACAGGAUUAGAUACCCGGGUAGUC